AGGGAGGUGCUCAAAUUAGCAGAGGAGCGAACUCGUGAGGCACUGAAGAGCUACGAGGAGGCCAAGGCUGCCCGGCCAAGGAAAGAAUCGGCCGACAAGAAGAAAGGAUGGGAGGCGCCCAACCCGGAGACCGAGGUAUCAAAAAAAGCUCCGCAAGAACUCCUUCCCAGGUAUGACAAGCCGGACAGACGUCUCUGUGUCAAGGAGCGUUGAUCCCUGUCUCUAAAUAAAAUAGUGGAAUUUCGUAAGAAGAUGGGUAGUAUCCAAUAGGAUUCAAUCUCUAGCGAGCGAACCGUCGAGUCCGUGAGAAGAAGUUCUUCCUCCUUGAGAGAAACAAAAGAAAUGAUGGAGUGCUUUUUACUUUUUUAUUUUAGCCGCGAGACCACCUGUCGUGGCAUCAAGACAACUUUGGAAGAUCCAAGUCUCUAAAUUGCGACACUAAGCACCAGAUCAACAACUCUUCCUUGUGUUCCUCUAGGAUCUCUGCCAAGUCUCUCCCGGACAAAUUGGUGGACACAAGUUUUCUUUGGGAAUGAUUCAUAGGAUCUUCGCAAGAAUGAGGUGCCUGGAGUUCGUUCUUGCUCACGAACGAUCAAGGUCUGGGACUCAAGCCAUAUGCUCUGGUGCGUCAAGACUUUCACCAGCAGCUAGAUGAAAAAAUAGAAGCAAACACAUUGUCAAUCCAAUUUGAGGAUUCUUGUUUAGGGAAGUCUUCACCAGGAUAUUGGUCAUAAUUGAAAAUCAUUGUUCGUUAUAGCAUCACACUAUAUUUGCUGACAAGGAAGUUCACCAGACAAGCUUGUGGCCCAAUGUCAGCUCACCCAUUAACCAAUUUAUAAUUCUCCAGAUGAGAGUUUAAACUUGAACAAACUAUUUGUGAGGAUUGUUCAGGCUUUCUGUUGAUCUCUACAUGUGAUCCUCGCGAGCUUACUUCCCCGAUUGAUGCCCGUGCACGACAGGACGACAACGGAGCAACCUCGUCGAGUGCUACGUCCAGAAUGCUAUGUACCAAGGAGGCACCGGAGAUUUACAAGGAGAUGGUAAGAGAAGAGAUCUCCAUCGACACUUACACACUUUCCAGCAUCUCCUCUAGGCACCCGCACUUCGUGAAGAGAUGGAUCAAAGACGUGGCCACCACCACGUCCUUCUGAAAUCCAAGCUCCCCGGCUUUUCACCCCUUCUUUGUCCAAGAGCUUGCAUGCUGCCAGGGCCUUUCGGUCCAUGGCAGCAAUGCGAGACACACUGGAAGAUGCGAUCACAGGGGCUGGAGCCGGAUGCUUUCACGUACGUAGCAAUCCUUGGAGCUUGCUCAGUCCGGAUCCUUUGCGAUAACGGCAAGCACAUCCACAAGUCACAUACUUGAGAGCAAACAACACUUUGGAAACAUAAGUGUGAGGAAGACGCUCCAUCACCAUGUAUCCGAAGUGUGGACUCCAAGAGCUUGUUCCUCACCCUGGAGUUGUAAACUGGAAUUUGUUCAUAAGCCCGCGAGUAUCAACGCUGAGGAUCAUCAAAAACUUGAGUUUUCCAACAGUAUGACAGUCCGAGCAUGGCGUCCAAGAUGAUAAACUGGCAUAUUAUUGCCCGAGAUGGAACUCGGUUUCAUCACUUUGAUAUAGAAUUUGCUCUACUGUCUCUCUUUCUUCUGGGAUUUUAAGUUUCAGUGAUCGAAGAUCAAAUAGAGAUCUCGUCAACCAAAGGGGGAAUUCUACAACAUCGGACGUUGGAAAAACCAUUGUACGGCAAGACACAAAGAGAAGCAGUGAUCACAGUCACUGCUGUUUCUUUCUCAUCACCAUUUAAAAGAAAAGAAAAGAAAAGGAAAAAAAAAACGAACCAUAAUGAUGGGAUGACUAGUUUCUCGAUAGAAGAAGAAAUCCUGGAAAACUGUAAUUAGCUCCUAGAGAGCUGCCAGAGAGAUUUUUAAACUCCAAUCCCUUGAGCUUGCUUCUAAAGCUCCAUUGACCGGAGUUUCCCCGGGAUGUGAUCUCUCACGUUGAAAACCCCGGCCAGCCUCAAAAUGUCCACUAUCGCUUGCACAAACUUGUCGACAUCAGCCAGCAUGUAAGUUAUCACGUUCAUGUUCAUGCGAGCAGAACGGACUCCCGCGUUCGUCACAGAGGGGUCGAGCAAGACCUCUCGUCUCUGGAAAUUACUUUGGAGACCACUACAGUGGUAUAGCUUUCAGCCAAUACACUCCAGAAGUGAAAUUCUACAGGAAACUUAUCAACAAAUUCGCUGGCUGGACGUCCAAGGUUUGGAGAAGCAAUAAGAUCAUGGACAGGGUAAACAGGCACCUCUUUUCAAUCUUGCAAGAUCGGCGUGAGAACCUCCGGUUUUCACCAGCGAGGAGCCCAUGGCAUUCAUAGACGUGCUCAUUUCCAGAGAAAAUCUCUGAGACAUCAUCAUAGUCUCUUGCUCGUUAAGUUUUAGCUCAACAUGGAAAAAUGGAAUCUCACAGGAUCUGUUGCUAGGAGCUCUAGCUACCUCGGCUCUCUCGCUGGAAUGGGCUAUGGCCGAUCUUCUCAGGAAUCGCCGAGUUCUCGGCUCAGAGCCAGAUCGAUGCAAAGAAAAGCUUGUGGACGAGUCGGACAUUGCAAAGCUUCCAUACAUCGAGGCCAUAGCCAAGGAAACACUGAGACUCCUGGCUCAGCUAGCUCUUCCCAAUAUCGUCCAAGGAGGCCCGAUUAAACUCAGGGGCUAUACCAUCCCGGACGAUACCACGAUCUACAUCAACACCUACUGGAUCGCCAUGGACGAGAGGUUUUGGAAAGACCCUCUAGAGUUUCGCCCGCAGUGUUUCAUGCCAGACAUCGAUGCCUUUGGCCAUGGCAGGAGAAUUUGCCCUGGUGCCAAGCUCGGCGACUGGAAGCUGGAUGGUGAUCUGGGGAAGAUGAAUAUGGAUAAAACCUGGUUUGUCUGUCAAUGCUUUCACUGUUGUAGUUUCUUUGAAAGAAAGAUGAUCCCACAUAAAAUAUAAGCUGAUUUCGUGUACGAUUUUAGUCCAACCACAAAAGGUAGCUAUAUUUUAUUCACCAAAGCUGUGCGAGUUAGGGUUUGCGAUGGAGUGGAUGAGCCCAAGACUUAGGGAGGUGCUCAAAUUAGCAGAGGAGCGAACUCGUGAGGCACUGAAGAGCUACGAGGAGGCCAAGGCUGCCCGGCCAAGGAAAGAAUCGGCCGACAAGAAGAAAGGAUGGGAGGCGCCCAACCCGGAGACCGAGGUAUCAAAAAAAGCUCCGCAAGAACUCCUUCCCAGGUAUGACAAGCCGGACAGACGUCUCUGUGUCAAGGAGCGUUGAUCCCUGUCUCUAAAUAAAAUAGUGGAAUUUCGUAAGAAGAUGGGUAGUAUCCAAUAGGAUUCAAUCUCUAGCGAGCGAACCGUCGAGUCCGUGAGAAGAAGUUCUUCCUCCUUGAGAGAAACAAAAGAAAUGAUGGAGUGCUUUUUACUUUUUUAUUUUAGCCGCGAGACCACCUGUCGUGGCAUCAAGACAACUUUGGAAGAUCCAAGUCUCUAAAUUGCGACACUAAGCACCAGAUCAACAACUCUUCCUUGUGUUCCUCUAGGAUCUCUGCCAAGUCUCUCCCGGACAAAUUGGUGGACACAAGUUUUCUUUGGGAAUGAUUCAUAGGAUCUUCGCAAGAAUGAGGUGCCUGGAGUUCGUUCUUGCUCACGAACGAUCAAGGUCUGGGACUCAAGCCAUAUGCUCUGGUGCGUCAAGACUUUCACCAGCAGCUAGAUGAAAAAAUAGAAGCAAACACAUUGUCAAUCCAAUUUGAGGAUUCUUGUUUAGGGAAGUCUUCACCAGGAUAUUGGUCAUAAUUGAAAAUCAU
Molecule: long non-coding RNA, 3831 nt
Filed under: Selaginella moellendorffii
Lineage: Eukaryota; Viridiplantae; Streptophyta; Lycopodiopsida; Selaginellales; Selaginellaceae
Description: long non-coding RNA (SMOE_LNC000007)
Source: RNAcentral